This 439-nucleotide ribosomal RNA is filed under the name uncultured bacterium. Its description in RNAcentral is "partial 16S ribosomal RNA". It matches the Rfam family "Bacterial small subunit ribosomal RNA", at positions 339 to 795 of the family's 1533-position model. The record is from RNAcentral.
CUACGGGGCGCACCAGUGGGGAAUAUUGCACAAUGGGGGAAACCCUGAUGCAGCAACGCCGCGUGGAGGAUGACACAUUUCGGUGCGUAAACUCCUUUUAUAGGUCAAGAUAAUGACGGUAGCCUAUGAAUAAGCGCCGGCUAACUCCGUGCCAGCAGCCGCGGUAAUACGGAGGGCGCAAGCGUUACUCGGAAUCACUGGGCGUAAAGAGCAUGUAGGCGGGUUAAUAAGUCAGAAGGGAAAUCCAAUAGCCCAACUAUUGAACUGCUUUUGAAACUGUUAACCUAGAGUGUGGGAGAGGUAGAUGGAAUUUCUGGUGUAGGGGUAAAAUCCGUAGAGAUCAGAAGGAAUACCGAUUGCGAAGGCGAUCUACUGGAACAUUACUGACGCUGAGAUGCGAAAGCGUGGGGAGCAAACAGGAUUAGAUACCCGAGUAGUC